AACAACACCAUUGCAAAAAAAAGAGACGCCAGGUGGCGUUGGAGUCGAGUUAUUACUAAAAAUCGUGUUCAUGGUCCGAUUAUCCUCAGAUU
This is a long non-coding RNA of Rhagoletis zephyria (snowberry fruit fly), 92 nucleotides long. RefSeq lists it as uncharacterized. NCBI's taxonomy places the organism in Eukaryota, Metazoa, Arthropoda, Insecta, Diptera, Tephritidae. The record is from RefSeq and is a predicted model, not a curated record.